This 594-nucleotide long non-coding RNA is filed under the name Macaca mulatta (Rhesus monkey). Its description in RNAcentral is "lncRNA (ENSMMUG00000063083.1)". Lineage: Eukaryota; Metazoa; Chordata; Mammalia; Primates; Cercopithecidae. The record is from RNAcentral.
UGAAUUCUACAGAUAUUUUUAAAGAAAAAUCAAAACAUUUACAGUCUUGUAAAUUUUAAUAUCCCUAAUAGCUUGGAAUUGUAGUUAUAGCUGCCACUUCACUUCAAAAGAAAGAACUGACAAACUAAAAAGAAGAGUGGAAGUCAGGGCUGGGCGCCAUCUUGGGGAGACAGUCACAGGGGUUUGGGAAGCUUCAGAAGGCUAAUAGCCCAGGGAUGUUUCCACUUCCUGAGUUCCAUCCUUAUCUUUCCUGACUCUCAGGGGCUAUAAUUCGGAGGCUGCAUUCCACAAAAGAAUCCUAAAUCCCCAUGAGUAACUCUGAAAUGCCGUGCCUUUGAAUAGAGCUGAGGCCAGGGUAAACAUAUGGCCCAGUUUCAGGAUACUGGCUAGCUCCUGGGAAGAAGGAAAAAGAAAAGAUGGGCUUUGGCUGUACUGAUGGUCCCAAGGAGAACUUAAUUGAGACGACUGGAGAAACAGGUAAUGUAAAAAGAGAAAAAUAAUUUUGUUUUUCUUGUGGGUUUUUUAAAACGGUGACACCAGCUGAGUUUGAUUAAUUUGCUUCAAGGACAAAAAGUUCAUUGAAAACAGCAGAGA